RNAcentral lists this ribosomal RNA (464 nucleotides) under uncultured bacterium. RNAcentral describes it as "partial 16S ribosomal RNA". It matches the Rfam family "Bacterial small subunit ribosomal RNA", at positions 28 to 506 of the family's 1533-position model. The record is from RNAcentral.
GACGAACGCUGGCGGCGUGCUUAACACAUGCAAGUCGUACGGUAAGGCCCUUUCGGGGGUACACGAGUGGCGAACGGGUGAGUAACACGUGAGUAACCUGCCCACAACUUUGGGAUAACGCUAGGAAACUGGUGCUAAUACUGGAUAUGUGCUCCUGCUGCAUGGUGGGGGUUGGAAAGCUCCGGCGGUUGUGGAUGGACUCGCGGCCUAUCAGCUUGUUGGUGGGGUAGUGGCCUACCAAGGCGGCGACGGGUAGCCGGCCUGAGAGGGUGACCGGCCACAUUGGGACUGAGAUACGGCCCAGACUCCUACGGGAGGCAGCAGGGGGGAAUAUUGCACAAUGGGCGCAAGCCUGAUGCAGCAACGCCGCGUGGGGGAUGACGGCCUUCGGGUUGUAAACCGCUUUCAGCGGGGACGAAGCUUUUUGGGACGGUACCUGCAGAAGAAGCACCGGCGAACUACGU